AGAGUUUGAUCCUGGCUCAGGACGAACGCUGGCGGCGCGCUUAACACAUGCAAGUCGAGCGAGAACCAGGACUUCGGUCCUGGGGAAAGCGGCGAACGGGUGAGUAACACGUGAGUAAUCUGCCCUCAGCACCGGAAUAGCCCGGGGAAACCCGGAUUAAUGCCGGAUAGCCCGCCCUCCCCUCGGGGAGAUCGGAAAAGGUAGCUUUGGCCUCUGGCUGAGGAUGAGCUCGCGGCGGAUUAGCUUGUUGGCGGGGUAAUGGCCCACCAAGGCGACGAUCCGUAGCUGGUCUGAGAGGACGAUCAGCCACACUGGGACUGAGACACGGCCCAGACUCCUACGGGAGGCAGCAGUGGGGAAUCUUGCACAAUGGGCGAAAGCCUGACGCAGCGACGCCGCGUGCGGGAGGAAGGCCUUCGGGUUGUAAACCGCUUUCAGGAGGGACGAAGCCACUCGGGUGAAUAGCCCAGAGGGUGACGGUACCUCCAGAAGAAGCCCCGGCUAACUACGUGCCAGCAGCCGCGGUAAUACGUAGGGGGCAAGCGUUGUCCGGAUUUAUUGGGCGUAAAGCGCGUGUAGGUGGCCAUGUAGGUCCGCUGUGAAAACUCGAGGCUCAACCCCGAGCUGUCGGUGGAAACCACAUGGCUAGAGUCCGGAAGAGGAGAGUGGAAUUCCUGGUGUAGCGGUGAAAUGCGCAGAUAUCAGGAAGAACACCAAUGGCGAAGGCAGCUCUCUGGGACGGUACUGACACUGAGACGCGAAAGCGUGGGGAGCGAACAGGAUUAGAUACCCUGGUAGUCC
Molecule: ribosomal RNA, 801 nt
Filed under: uncultured bacterium
Lineage: Bacteria
Description: bacterial SSU rRNA
Rfam family: Bacterial small subunit ribosomal RNA
Source: RNAcentral